RNAcentral lists this ribosomal RNA (2820 nucleotides) under Triticum aestivum (bread wheat). Its description in RNAcentral is "partial small subunit ribosomal RNA". The record is from RNAcentral. Lineage: Eukaryota; Viridiplantae; Streptophyta; Magnoliopsida; Poales; Poaceae.
AUGUCGUACAUCCGCAACGACCUCCUUGCCGCCAUGGAUUUGGGCUCGAGCUCCGCUGCCGUUCAUGGCCGAAGCCCACUAAGGAUGGAAGACCCUGGUAGUAGUGGACCGGUGCUGCAACGGUACUACAACCCUGGUGUGGUCUUCCAAGAUGCAGCACGGCAUGGCCGGGAUGAAUUUGAUCUGAAUGUUGCUGUUGAGCCAUCAAUUUUCCUUGACGAUGAUAUGCAAAAUGUUGCACAUGAAGAAGAAGAAGAAGAAGAAGGCAUUGAUCUGAAUGAAACUCCGCGAAAUGUUAGUGACGAUUCGUUUCAGCUGAACACCGGUGGUGUAGCUCCAAAUCAAGGCAAUGCUCGUGUGGCUAGUGACAAUGCCAAUGGAAAUGCUGCAACACUUGUUGACGAACCGGAUGAAGAUAUAUCAUCACAGCCAGUUGUCCCUUUUGUUGGAAUGGUUUUUGACAAUGUUGAAGAAGCUCAGCGUGUUUACAAUGAAUAUGCCUCGAAGAUGGGCUUUGGAACUCGCAUUGUGACGUCAAAGUAUAGUAGGAAAAAUAGCUCGGAUAAGAAGCGCAUUCUAAACUAUAGAGUUUUUGAGUGCAUACACUCACGGAAAAAUCCUUCGAAGAGUGUUGGUGGUAGCAUUUCUGAAGGGGCUGCAACAAAUGAGUGUGAUGAUGUUGAUAUGAGCUAUGCUAGUAACAAAAAGUCUCCAAGCAAACAAGCUGGCAUCUAUAUGGAUGUGAGCGACAAGAGGAAAAGAAAUCGGUUGGAGCGGUAUGAUUGCAAGGCUCAUAUGGGUGUUAACCUCAAAGACGGUAGCUGGGUUGUGACAAUUUUUGAGGCCGAUCACACACACCAGUUGAUGUUGCAAAGGGGGCGUCGGAGAUUUUGCCGCUCUCACAGAAAGAUCCCGGAUGCAGACAUGCAGUACAUCACUUCACUGCACUAUCGCAACAUAUCUACGGCUAAUAUGAUGGGCUUGCUUGGAGAUGCACGGUGUUGCGAUCCAAGGAGUUUGCCGUAUGUGAAGACUGAUGUGACAAAUGCAAGAGCAAAGUUGCGAAGGGGCCUAUCGGAACGUGAUUUGGAGCUGACAAUCGAGUACUUUGAGAGAAGACAAGUGGAGAAUCCAAACUUCUUUUUCUCGAAGCUAGAAGAAGAUGGAGUUGUUAGGGCGCUUUUCUGGGUUGAUGGGAGAACAAGGGCCUUGUAUCCAAAGUACAAAGAUUGUGUGUUUUUCGACACCACAUUCUGCACAAAUCGCUACAACCUGCCCUUUGCUCCAAUUGUUGGCAUUAACAACCACACACACACUGUUUGCUUGGGGUGUGCUUUGUUGCCUGAUGAGACCAUUGAAACUUUCAAGUGGGUCUUCCAGCAAUGGAUGUUGGCAAUGAAUAAUGAGCAUCCGUUGAACAUUAUGACUGAUCAAGACCAGGCAAUGGCUACAGCCAUCUCAAUGGUAUUCCCACAUUCAACACACAGAUGUUGCAAGUGGCACGUCUUCCGGGUUGCAAGAACAAAACUAGGGAGGAUGCUGGGCAAGGAUGAGCCUUUUGCAGAAGCAUUUUAUGGUUGCAUUAAUGGUUCAGACACCGUUGAGGAGUUUGAAGAACGGUGGAAGCAGAUGGUCGAGGUGUUUGGUGUGGCUGAUAAGAAACACCUCAAAAACAUGUGGAACAGCAGGGAGACGUGGGCUCCUGUGUACUUUAGGAAUAAGUUCUUCCCAUUCACAGGAACAACUGGGCGCUCCGAGGGCCUGAAUUCCUACUUCAAGACAUUAAAUCAUCAUGGAGACUCGGUUUGGACCUUUGUGCAGCAGUUUGAGCUUUGCCAGGAGCUGAUGCUUGAUCGUGAAGACAAUGCGGGCUUCAUCAAUGAAGCGACGAGGCCACCACUCUGGGGCAAUUACAACAUUGAGAAGCAGGCUGCUGAUUUCUAUACCAGAGAGGUAUUUUUCAAGUUUCAGAAACUAUUGGCUAAAUCAACAGGCUAUGGGUUGCAAUACCAGCUGCAAGGGAAUGUCGGCUGGUUUCGUCUUGUUGCAAAUGAUGGCAUGAACCCUAAAGUGUACACGGUGCGUGUUGCCCCUGAUGAUCAGACAUACAUGUGCAGUUGCAACAUGUUUGAGAUGUGUGGGCUGAUCUGCCCACAUAUCAUCCGUGUCAUGGUGCACCUGAACGUGCAAGCGAUACCUGCGAAUUACAUGCUUCCAAGAUGGUCUAAGAGAGCAACCGACCUUGCACCUGAACCAGGCGAUGGGCAUAGAGCUAUGCAUUUCGGCGUCCCCACAACAAACACCCUAAAGUUUAACUCUCUCUGCCGGAAGUUUGGGAAACUCGCUUCUGAUGCAUGCUUCAAUGAUGAAGCUUAUAGUUUUGUCUCUGGGCUAAUUAAUCAGGGCAGUGUUGGGGUUGCUGAAAUAAAAGCUAGAGCGAUCGAUGAAGUUGCACGAGGCGAAGAAGCCCAAGGUCAUGCAGCAAAUGAACAACUCUCAAGGGGUCCCAGUACAGGGCAGCAGGAUCCACCCCCCGUAGGACUACGAAACCCACCAAAGUCAGCAAAGAAGGGGAGGCCAAAAGAAAAAGAGAAGCGAAGGAAGCCACUAAUUGAGCUUCGAGAAGAUGAAAUGAAGAAGAAAGCAAAGAAGGACGCAGCAAAAACGAAGAAAGCUCCAAAGCCAAGGGAAAAGAAGACUCCAUGCAAAUAUUGUGAAGAUGAGGAUCACAACGUGAAGAACUGCCAACUCCUUGCCGCUUUUCUUGCUGCGAGUGCGAGCGCGAAAGCUCCAGGUGUCGGGCCAAUCCUUACACUUUAG